This 430-nucleotide ribosomal RNA is filed under the name uncultured bacterium. RNAcentral describes it as "partial 16S ribosomal RNA". It matches the Rfam family "Bacterial small subunit ribosomal RNA", at positions 29 to 506 of the family's 1533-position model. The record is from RNAcentral.
ACGAACGCUGGCGGCAUGCCUAACACAUGCAAGUCGAACGAGACCUUCGGGUCUAGUGGCGCACGGGUGCGUAACGCGUGGGAACCUGCCCUUAGGUUCGGAAUAACUCCCCGAAAGGGGUGCUAAUACCGGAUAAUGUCUUCGGACCAAAGAUUUAUCGCCUUUGGAUGGGCCCGCGUUGGAUUAGCUAGUUGGUAGGGUAAAAGCCUACCAAGGCGACGAUCCAUAGCUGGUCUGAGAGGAUGAUCAGCCACACUGGGACUGAGACACGGCCCAGACUCCUACGGGGGGCGGAAGGGGGAAAUUUGGAACAUGGGCGAAAGCCUGAUCCAGCAUUGCCGGGUGGGUGAUGAAGGCCUUAGGGUUGUAAAGCCCUUUUACCCGGGAUGAUAAUAACAGUACCGGGAGAAUAAGCCCCGGCUAACCCCGU